Molecule: long non-coding RNA, 563 nt
Filed under: Phascolarctos cinereus (koala)
Lineage: Eukaryota; Metazoa; Chordata; Mammalia; Diprotodontia; Phascolarctidae
Description: lncRNA (ENSPCIG00000016554.2)
Source: RNAcentral
GGAAGAUUAUGGGAUGGAGCUGGAACCAGGUUGAAUGGUGGUGGGCUUUUAUUAGCAGUGCCGUGGGGGCGGCGGUGAAGGGCUGUUGCUGGACAAAUUGAGAGCUGGACAAAUAGAUCUGCAGUUUUGGAGCCAGUUUCUGAAUUGGGCGGGGGAGAGUUGGAGGAAAGAGGGAUGCACUACCCUCCUUAGCCUCUUAGCGGGCUUAGAAGGGGAGGGCCCAGAGAACUACAAUACCCAGAAGCCCCAAAGCGUCCCAGCGGCUCAGAAAGGGCUUUGGGGAGCGCGCCCUCAAGGAGUGUGGCGGAAUUGGCAAGAGGCAAAAACAAACUGCUCUCCUGCUUUGGUGUUUCGCCAGAUCUUUGUUCCUAAGGAAAGCUUAUAGGCAGAAGAAAAGUUGUGUGGUAAAGAGUAUGGACCUGACAGUCCUGAAGUUUGAGUUUAACACAGAGAUAUGUAAGGCAAGAAGUGAUAUUCAGCAGAAGUGGAACUUCAUGAAGUGGUACCAGAAAGACUGUCCAAGGAACAUUCUCCCAGGAAAUCAAUUUUGGAGAACACCAUAA